This 62-nucleotide ribosomal RNA is filed under the name Pseudomonas syringae pv. rhaphiolepidis. RNAcentral's name for it is "partial 16S ribosomal RNA". The record is from RNAcentral. Lineage: Bacteria; Pseudomonadati; Pseudomonadota; Gammaproteobacteria; Pseudomonadales; Pseudomonadaceae.
UAGAUGUUUGAACUGAAGAGUUUGAUCAUGGCUCAGAUUGAACGCUGGCGGCAGGCCUAACA